Molecule: ribosomal RNA, 114 nt
Filed under: uncultured eukaryote
Lineage: Eukaryota
Description: partial 18S ribosomal RNA
Source: RNAcentral
UGGUGAGUGAUUUGUUUGGUUAAUUCCUCAGUCCACUAAUUGGUUUGCCCAAUGUGGUGUACACAUCUUAGAGGGACUAUGAUUUUUAUCCGAAGGAAGUAUGAGGCAAUAACA